UUCAUUCUCUUUAGUGUUUGCCCUGUGUCCGCCACCUCCCUCCGCCACUGCGAUUCGCCCCCCCUUCCCAGACCCCCUCCCCGCCUCGGGACCCGGCCAAUGGACUGAGACGCCCGCCUGCCCGCCCGCAGCACCAGCCGGCCCGGGAGCCGCAGCCCAGGCAGCCAGGCUUUCUCCAACAUAAAUACCCUCCUUGGAACUAAAACCAAAACUUCACUGUCCCUGGAUCACCUAAAGGUAGACCAUUAGGUUCCAUCGCACUGAAUUAACCUGCAUUCAAAGCUGUCUACCUUUAGUAAUUCACUUUGGUUGCAAGUGAACAUGUCUCAAGUUCAAAUUCAGAAUCCAUCUGCUGCUCUCUCAGGGAGCCAAAUAUUGAAUAAGAACCAAUCUCUUUCGCAGCCUUUGAGUAUUCCUUCUACCACUAGUUCUCUGCCCUCUGAAAAUGCAGGUAGACCUCUUCAAAACUCUGCUUUACCUUCUGCAUCUGUUACAUCCACCAGUGCAG
Molecule: long non-coding RNA, 508 nt
Organism: Terrapene triunguis (Three-toed box turtle)
Lineage: Eukaryota; Metazoa; Chordata; Testudines; Emydidae
Exons: 3
Source: RefSeq, a predicted model, not a curated record